GGAGAAAUGGCAGAUAGAUAUGCAUUUAGCUUGAAACUAAAAUGAGAAAGGUUUAAGUCCUUUUUUCUCUU
Molecule: transfer RNA, 71 nt
Filed under: Styracaster yapensis
Lineage: Eukaryota; Metazoa; Echinodermata; Asteroidea; Paxillosida; Porcellanasteridae
Description: tRNA-Ser
Rfam family: tRNA
About the family: Transfer RNA (tRNA) molecules are approximately 80 nucleotides in length. Their secondary structure includes four short double-helical elements and three loops (D, anti-codon, and T loops). Further hydrogen bonds mediate the characteristic L-shaped molecular structure. tRNAs have two regions of fundamental functional importance: the anti-codon, which is responsible for specific mRNA codon recognition, and the 3' end, to which the tRNAs corresponding amino acid is attached (by aminoacyl-tRNA synthetases). tRNAs cope with the degeneracy of the genetic code in two manners: having more than one tRNA (with a specific anti-codon) for a particular amino acid; and 'wobble' base-pairing, i.e. permitting non-standard base-pairing at the 3rd anti-codon position.
Source: RNAcentral